AGGCUCAUUUUGGUAGCCCCUGCACUAACAUUGGAAUGGCACAGAAUUCGCACAGCCCCUGCACAAGGAGGACACGCAUAUUUGUGAAGCAUUCCGUUUUUUU
This is a small nuclear RNA of Talpa occidentalis (Iberian mole), 103 nucleotides long. The record is from RefSeq and is a predicted model, not a curated record. Lineage: Eukaryota; Metazoa; Chordata; Mammalia; Eulipotyphla; Talpidae.